RNAcentral lists this ribosomal RNA (551 nucleotides) under uncultured bacterium. RNAcentral describes it as "bacterial SSU rRNA". It matches the Rfam family "Bacterial small subunit ribosomal RNA", at positions 9 to 567 of the family's 1533-position model. The record is from RNAcentral.
GAGUUUGAUCCUGGCUCAGGAUAAACGCUGGCGGCGCACAUAAGACAUGCAAGUCGAACGAACUUAAUUCAUUCUUUUAGAUUGGAAGCGGUUAGUGGCGGACUGGUGAGUAACGCGUGAGCAACCUGCCUAUUAGAGGGGAAUAACAGUGAGAAAUCAUUGCUAAUACCGCAUAUGCUUACACUAUUGCAUGAUAGAGUAAGGAAAGGAGCAAUCCGCUAAUAGAUGGGCUCGCGUCUGAUUAGCUAGUUGGUGGGGUAGAAGCCUACCAAGGCGACGAUCAGUAGCCGGACUGAGAGGUUGAACGGCCACAUUGGGACUGAGAUACGGCCCAGACUCCUACGGGAGGCAGCAGUCGGGAAUAUUGCGCAAUGGAGGAAACUCUGACGCAGUGACGCCGCGUAUAGGAAGAAGGUUUUCGGAUUGUAAACUAUUGUCGUUAGGGAAGAAAAAAGACAGUACCUAAGGAGGAAGCCCCGGCUAACUAUGUGCCAGCAGCCGCGGUAAUACAUAGGGGGCAAGCGUUAUCCGGAAUUAUUGGGUGUAAAGGG